CCUACGGGAGGCAGCAGUAGGGAAUUUUCGUCAAUGGGCGCAAGCCUGAACGAGCAAUGCCGCGUGAACGAGGAAGGUCUUCGGAUCGUAAAGUUCUGUUGAAGGGGAAAAAGAGCGGAGAGAGGAAAUGGUCUCCGAUUGAUAUUACCCUUCGAGGAAGUCACGGCUAACUACGUGCCAGCAGCCACGGUAAUACGUAGGUGGCGAGCGUUAUCCGGAAUGAUUGGGCGUAAAGGGUGCGUAGGCGGCCUGCUAAGUCUUGAGUGAAAGGUACCGGCUCAACCGGUACAGGCUCUGGAAACUGGCGGGCUAGAGAGCAGGAGAGGGCGGUGGAACUCCAUGUGUAGCGGUAAAAUGCGUAGAUAUAUGGAAGAACACCAGUGGCGAAGGCGGCCGCCUGGCCUGUUACUGACGCUGAGGCACGAAAGCGUGGGGAGCAAAUAGGAUUAGAUACCCCAGUAGUC
RNAcentral lists this ribosomal RNA (464 nucleotides) under uncultured bacterium. RNAcentral describes it as "partial 16S ribosomal RNA". It matches the Rfam family "Bacterial small subunit ribosomal RNA", at positions 338 to 795 of the family's 1533-position model. The record is from RNAcentral.